Long non-coding RNA from Talpa occidentalis (Iberian mole), 350 nucleotides. RefSeq lists it as uncharacterized. The record is from RefSeq and is a predicted model, not a curated record. The transcript has 4 exons. NCBI's taxonomy places the organism in Eukaryota, Metazoa, Chordata, Mammalia, Eulipotyphla, Talpidae.
GACCCCUUUCCUACUAGGUUUGAACUUGGCCAUGUGGCUUACUUUGACCCAUGAAAGGAAAGAGAAUGAAAAAGAAGAGAACUCAAAACAAGAAAAGUCUCCUGGAAAGAAAUGAGAAACUCUCCUGCUCCCUCUGCAUUCACUUUCUGAGGAUGUGGACGGAUAGGCUGUGACCAGUGUUCACCCAACGAUUGGGAAAGCUUGUUGGGUCAUUUCCCCUGAGUGGUCAUGAGACAGUGCCCAACCCAGCAGGUGUGUCCCUGAAGUGCAUCUGUCAUCAGAAAGGGAAUUCCUUCUCAUUGCAAAUGAAAUGUGAUUGCUUGUCAGGGCCCUCCAUUAACCCAUACACC